AUGGGAGAUACCAGUAGGGAUUCCGGUAUUGAGAAAUUGUGUGAAAGUAUGCAGCGUAUGAUUUCACAGCUGAUGGAGCAGGCACAAACAAAGACAAGCAGUACUUCUGAAAUUUUGAAGACCCUGGAACCCAAUCCUGUCAGGUUAACUGGUCCGGGUGAUUUUUUUAGCUGGUCUCGGAACGCCACAUUGAUUCUGGAGUCACAUGGACUUCAGAAAUUUUUGAAGGACGAUGAAAAAAAACCAACGGAUGUCACACAAGAGCAAUGGGAUCAGAAUCAAAAGCGAGUUAUGGUAUGGCUGUUGGGGUCGAUGGAGAAGACUAUUAGGGAACAAGUUGAAGGGUUUCAGUCUGCAGCUGAGGUGUGGAGAAGCAUUGAGAAACAGUUCUCAGGAAAAUCGAACAAGAUGCAAGUCAGUAGGAUUUUCCAUGAAUUGAGGCAGAUCAAGCAAGAGCAGAAGACAGUGACUGAAUUUGCGGGAGAAAUCAAGAAACUCUAUAGAGACCUGGAGUAUUUUAGACCAUUUAAGGAACAUGAUCCCAGGGACGUACCCCUCCUUCGAGAGUGGUUUGAACCAUUGUUGGUUCAGACUUUUCUUGAUGGUCUGAACUCAGAGUUCAAUCUCCGUUCCCAACUCAUACAAGCCACAGCAGAUUGGCCUACAUUGGAUCAAGCCAUCUCAAGUAUACUUGAGGAAGAAACACGGCUGGCCAAUCAGAUCACAACUUCACAAACAAAUGUUGAUAGCAGAGCUGCACUAUCUUCAGUUAAGCAAAUUCAGUCUCCUGGUACUUCAAGAAAUGAGCAAGCAAAUGCUACUAGAUUCGACUACAGAGAAAGCCUAAGAUGGUGUGUGACCACUGUAAAAAACCAGGCCAUUUGA
Molecule: ribosomal RNA, 885 nt
Filed under: Triticum aestivum (bread wheat)
Lineage: Eukaryota; Viridiplantae; Streptophyta; Magnoliopsida; Poales; Poaceae
Description: partial small subunit ribosomal RNA
Source: RNAcentral